UACGGGGGGAGCAAGCGUUGUUCGGAUUUACUGGGCGUAAAGGGCGCGUAGGCGGUCGUGACAAGUCACUUGUGAAAUCUCCGGGCUUAACUCGGAACGGUCAAGUGAUACUGUCGGACUAGAGUACAGAAGGGGCAACUGGAAUUCUCGGUGUAGCGGUGAAAUGCGCAGAUAUCAGGAGGAACACCGGUGGCGAAGGCGGAUCUCUGGGCCUUACCUGACGCUGAGGCGCGAAAGCUAGGGGAGCAAACAGG
Molecule: ribosomal RNA, 254 nt
Filed under: uncultured bacterium
Lineage: Bacteria
Description: partial 16S ribosomal RNA
Rfam family: Bacterial small subunit ribosomal RNA
Source: RNAcentral